RNAcentral lists this ribosomal RNA (1360 nucleotides) under uncultured bacterium. Its description in RNAcentral is "bacterial SSU rRNA". It matches the Rfam family "Bacterial small subunit ribosomal RNA", at positions 28 to 1381 of the family's 1533-position model. The record is from RNAcentral.
GAUGAACGCUAGCUACAGGCUUAACACAUGCGAGUCGAGGGGCAGCAUGGUCUUAGCUUGCUAAGGCCGAUGGCGACCGGCGCACGGGUGAGUAACGCGUAUCCAACCUGCCUUACACUCUUGGACAGCCUUCUGAAAGGGAGAUUAAUACAAGAUGUUAUCAUGAGUAAGCAUUUUCGCAUGAUUAAAGGUUUACCGGUGUAAGAUGGGGAUGCGUUCCAUUAGAUAGUAGGCGGGGUAACGGCCCACCUAGUCUUCGAUGGAUAGGGGUUCUGAGAGGAAGGUCCCCCACAUUGGAACUGAGACACGGUCCAAACUCCUACGGGAGGCAGCAGUGAGGAAUAUUGGUCAAUGGACGAGAGUCUGAACCAGCCAAGUAGCGUGAAGGAUGAAGGUUCUAUGGAUUGUAAACUUCUUUUAUACGGGAAUAAACGGAUCCACGUGUGGAUUUUUGCAUGUACCGUAUGAAUAAGGAUCGGCUAACUCCGUGCCAGCAGCCGCGGUAAUACGGAGGAUCCGAGCGUUAUCCGGAUUUAUUGGGUUUAAAGGGAGCGUAGAUGGGUUGUUAAGUCAGUUGUGAAAGUUUGCGGCUCAACCGUAAAAUUGCAAUUGAUACUGGCAGUCUUGAGUACAGUUGAGGUAGGCGGAAUUCGUGGUGUAGCGGUGAAAUGCUUAGAUAUCACGAAGAACUCCGAUUGCGAAGGCAGCUUACUAACCUGUAACUGACAUUGAUGCUCGAAAGUGUGGGUAUCAGACAGGAUUAGAUACCCUGGUAGUCCACACGGUAAACGAUGAAUACUCGCUGUAGGCGAUAUACAGUCUGCGGCCAAGCGAAAGCAUUAAGUAUUCCACCUGGGGAGUACGCCGGCAACGGUGAAACUCAAAGGAAUUGACGGGGGCCCGCACAAGCGGAGGAACAUGUGGUUUAAUUCGAUGAUACGCGAGGAACCUUACCCGGGCUUAAAUUGCAACCGAAUAUGGCGGAAACGCUAUAGCUAGCAAUAGCGGUUGUGAAGGUGCUGCAUGGUUGUCGUCAGCUCGUGCCGUGAGGUGUCGGCUUAAGUGCCAUAACGAGCGCAACCCUUGCCGAUAGUUACUAACAGGUUAUGCUGAGGACUCUGUCGGGACUGCCAUCGUAAGAUGUGAGGAAGGUGGGGAUGACGUCAAAUCAGCACGGCCCUUACGUCCGGGGCUACACACGUGUUACAAUGGGGGGUACAGAGGGCUGCUACCACGCAAGUGGAUGCCAAUCCCAAAAACCUCUCUCAGUUCGGAUUGAAGUCUGCAACCCGACUUCAUGAAGCUGGAUUCGCUAGUAAUCGCGCAUCAGCCACGGCGCGGUAAAUACGUUCCCGGGCCU